RNAcentral lists this ribosomal RNA (253 nucleotides) under uncultured bacterium. RNAcentral describes it as "partial 16S ribosomal RNA". It matches the Rfam family "Bacterial small subunit ribosomal RNA", at positions 524 to 776 of the family's 1533-position model. The record is from RNAcentral.
UACGGAGGGGGCUAGCGUUGUUCGGAAUUACUGGGCGUAAAGCGCACGUAGGCGGCUUUGUAAGUUAGAGGUGAAAGCCCGGGGCUCAACUCCGGAACUGCCUUUAAGACUGCAUCGCUUGAAUCCAGGAGAGGUGAGUGGAAUUCCGAGUGUAGAGGUGAAAUUCGUAGAUAUUAGGAAGAACACCAGUGGCGAAGGCGGCUCACUGGUCCGGUACUGACGCUGAGGUGCGAAAGCGUGGGGAGCAAACAGG